This is a non-coding RNA of Pelobates cultripes (western spadefoot toad), 1201 nucleotides long. The record is from the annotation of a GenBank genome assembly. Lineage: Eukaryota; Metazoa; Chordata; Amphibia; Anura; Pelobatidae.
UGAUACAGUUUAAACUCUAGUAGCCAUUUCUACCUCAUUUAAGAGUUUACAAAUACUAUACAAUAGCAUUAACACACCAUUUAAUUGGCACCUUGGGUGGAUGACCCCUAGUACACCACUGUUUAAGGAUCACUAUAGGGUCAGUAACACAAACCUGUAUUUCUGACCCUAUAGUGUGAAAACCACCAUUUAGGCCCCUGGACCCCUCAUGCCUCCAUAAAUAUAGUAAAAAUCUUACUCUAUUCAAGCGUGAAGCUUUAACUAUGCAUGCUGUUAGACUCAGAAAAACAGACAGUCUGCUCACAUCAGAAGUGGUAGCCUGAUCCAAUCACAAUGCUUCCCCACAGGAUUGGUUGAGACUGACAAAGAGGCAGAUCAAGGGCAGAGCCAGCAUGAUUCAAACACAGCCCUGGCCAAUCAGCAUCUCCUCAGAGAUACAUUGAAUCAAUGAAUCUCUAUGUGGAAAGUUCAUGCAGAGGGAGGAGACACUGAAUGUUUGGAUGCAUUUUAGGCAGCCAUGACCCAGGAAGGAUCUCUAACAGCUGAGGAGUGGCCAGUGAUAUCACUAAACUAAUGUGAACACUGCAUUUUCUCUGAAAAGACUGUUUACAGCAAAAAGCCUGAAGGCACUGAUUAUGCUCACCAGAACAAAUUCAAUAAGCUGUAGUUCUGGUGACUAGUGUCCCUUUAACACUACUGAGGUUAUUUCCACUAUAGUUUACAGCUCUGGUGGUGUUAAUAUAAGACUUCACCCUGAAUGUAACAAAACUAAAAAUGAAUAUAUAAAAAAAAAAAAAAAGUCCCCUUGCAAUUAGGAGGCCUGUAUAAAGUGCUUGAAGGGUAGGGAAAUACUGACAUCUACUGGGCUAAUGUUUAUUUACAUUUUAAUAUAUUUCCUACACAGUUUUACAGGGUUAUUUGCUGGUAAUGAAGAGUAAAUGCGAAGUGAAUUUCCAAAUUUAUGCCAAAAUAGGCAAAAUGAGAAACCCACAGAACAGAACAAGUUAUGAAAUGACCAAUGAGAAGGGUGAUGAGAGCUUACCGAAUGCUUUGCACCAUGGCCACUUCUAAAAGCAGAAGUGGUUAUGAUGUCGGGCGUAACAUUUUUUAUCAUCUAUUUGUUUUCUCAAUACCUUCACGAUAUUGGCUAAAAUGCUUCUCUAUAAGCAGCUUUUCGUAAACUAGAAAGUUCUUGACAAAA